Molecule: long non-coding RNA, 531 nt
Filed under: Salmo salar (Atlantic salmon)
Lineage: Eukaryota; Metazoa; Chordata; Actinopteri; Salmoniformes; Salmonidae
Description: lncRNA (ENSSSAG00000093941.1, ENSSSAG00000098354.1)
Source: RNAcentral
CAUGUUUCCUCAGCUUAGAGUUGUGCUUCCCGCUUUAAGGCACACUUAACCAGCAUGGCUACCCCAGCAUGACGACACGACAGUGGUAGGCCUGAUCACCAACAACGAUGAGACGGACUGCACAACGCAUCACCGGGGGUACACUACCUGCCCUCCAGGACACCUACAUCACCCGAUGUCACAGGAAGGCAAAAAAAGAUCAUCAAGGACAAUAACCACCUGAGCCACUGCCUGUUCACCCCGCUAUCAUCCAGAAGAGGAAGCCGGCUUGCUGGGUGGGACGAUAUCCAAUCACCAAUCAUAUCCAAUCACAUGGGUGGGACGAUAUCCAAUCACCAAUCAUAUCCAAUCACAUGGAUGGGACGAUAUUCCUCCUGUCUAUUUAAAAAUGUUGGAAUCAAUUAUGUCCACUAUUGCUCGAAAUGAUUAAUACAGCCGUUCAGAAAUGUUUGGAUAGAUGUGAAUACAGCACUAAUUUCACUUUUAUUAAAAAAGGGCAAGAUACUACCCAGUGUUCUCACUAUUGCCUCC